This 500-nucleotide ribosomal RNA is filed under the name uncultured bacterium. Its description in RNAcentral is "partial 16S ribosomal RNA". It matches the Rfam family "Bacterial small subunit ribosomal RNA", at positions 28 to 523 of the family's 1533-position model. The record is from RNAcentral.
GUUGAACGCUGGCGGCAUGCUUUACACAUGCAAGUCGAACGGUAACAGGGUGCUUGCACCGCUGACGAGUGGCGAACGGGUGAGUAAUGCGUCGGAACGUGCCGAGUAGUGGGGGAUAACGCAGCGAAAGUUGUGCUAAUACCGCAUACGUACUGAGGUAGAAAGUGGGGGACCUUCGGGCCUCACGCUAUUCGAGCGGCCGACGUCUGAUUAGCUAGUAGGUGAGGUAAAGGAUCACCUAGGCGACGAUCAGUAGCGGGUCUGAGAGGAUGAUCCGCCACACUGGGACUGAGACACGGCCCAGACCCCUACGGGAGGCAGCAGUGGGGAAUUUUGGACAAUGGGCGAAAGCCUGAUCCAGCCAUGCCGCGUGUCUGAAGAAGGCCUUCGGGUUGUAAAGGACUUUUGUCAGGGAGGAAAUCCCUAGUGCUAAUAACACUGGGGGAUGACAGUACCUGAAGAAUAAGCACCGGCUAACUACGUGCCAGCCGCCGCCGUAA